AGCACCUAAAAGUAUGUAACAUGUAUAUAUAAUAAGUAUAUUUCAUUUAUUUGUUGCUAUUUAAUAAAUCCUAUUCAUACCUCUAACUUUUUUCUUUAAUGUCUAUUAAAGGAGAUGUGGCUGAAGGAGCAGGUGUUGGAUGCGGUGCGCCUAAAAGGAAUUCAGGAGACAAUCGCAGGAUUUCUUAAUGACCAAGUCCUGGAUUCCGGCGGCGAGUGCUAUUUCAACCCUCAGGAGCAGAUGAAACCAAAUAACGAUGAUCAUUUGUACGAUGCUUGAGUGGUGGAGAAAAAUUGUGUUGUAAAUACUUUGUCCGUGAAGCAUAUGUGUAAAUAUUUUAUUAUGGACCUAUAGAUAUAAUUAUUUAUAUAUAUAUAGUGUUUUAUAGUAUAUUUAUAUGUUAUCCUUUAAAUUAUAUAAAUUAUAUAGGUGCGCGUUCCAUAAACUACCAGCAAACAAUACGCAUUCGAAAAUAACAAUAACAUAAUUGUAAACCCUAAAUAGAAAACCAAAUGAAAAGAAAAAGAAAAAAGAAAUAAGAAAAAAAAGUCUUUAGUCCCGGUUGGUAACAACAACCGGGACUAAAAGAGGAGGCCAGGUGGCACACCCUGGCGCACCUUUUAGUCCCGGUUUCUGUUACCAACCGGGACUAAAGGUGGACCUUUAGUCCCGGUCCACGGAACCGGGACUAAAGGUGGGACAUUUAGUCCCGAAACCUUAACCCCGGUUCCGUAGCCGGGACUAAAGGCGCUUACGGCCAUUCCCUGUACUGGUGUUUACAUAGUUGCCGUAUCGUCAUAUCCUUAUUUUUGGAAAAUGCCGUAUCGCUUUAUCCACAUCCAUUGGUCAAAGCCCCCACGCAUGAACUGUCCCAUCCUGGCAUCAUAUUUGCAGAAUUAUUUCAGUGCAUUGUUGCUUGCACGUACAACCUCUCAGGAUCUCUGAUUUCAAGAUCCGUUGGGUACUAGCAAGAAAAUAAGUUAGCCAUGGUCCGGCCUUGCAAGCAAUGCCUGAAACAAACCAAUCAUCUCUCUUUGACCUCAAGAUAUGACAGAUCCCGCUCGUCACACCUCCUUGAUCAUAUUGAUGAUCGAUCACUACUACUAAUAGUUGGCCGGCAGUCGUCAUGAACCACCUGGUUUGACCACCAAGUUGAGUUCGAUCGUCUCGCUAGCUCGCCACCGUGGUGAAUUAUUUAAGUUGUCCGUGGAUGUACUCGAAGGAAUGAUUAGAAUGCACAACACAGCUGGAUCCCUCUACUUUAUUCACGUACAAACAACUCUAGUUGCUGUAGUCUACCUACAGCAUAACAAAAGCUACGAUUUGAUUUCAAGAUCGAAUACUAUAUACUAGCUAGUAUUAUAAAUAACAAGUUGGUCGUGUAUAUAUAUGAUUAUCGUCAUCAGUUAUUAAUUACUAGGGCAUCAUUAUAUCCCUGCGCUCUCCGCCUAUAAAUAGUGCCCCCAACAGGCUGCAAACGAUCACAGGUUGCAGUGCCACAGUUCCAGGCAGGAGAUCUGAGACAUAAGCUCUAGCUACCUGCAGUCUGACGCUAGCUAUCAAGCUAUCUGUUGUGCUGCAUAGGAGUACGACGUGGUAGCUAGCCAUGGUGAAGAAAGUGGCCGUGCUGGCGACGUUGCUGGCCCUCAACCUCCUUUUGUUUGGCUUCGCGGACGCAUGCGGAUAUGAUGGGGGCGGGAGCGGAGGCACCGGUGGGAGCGGCACUAGCGGAGGUGGUAGUGGCAGUGGCGGCACCAGUGGAGGCGGCAGCGGAGGAGGUGGAAGCGGUGGAGGCGGCAGUGGAGGGGGUGGGAACGGAGGCGCCGGAGGGAGCAGUGGGGGCGGCAGCAUCGGAGGUGGUAGUGGCGGACGUGGCAGCGGUGGAGGUGGAAGUGGAGCAGGUGGCAGCGGUGGAGGUGGCAGUGGAGCAGGUGGGAAUGGAGGAGGAGCGGGUGGGAGCGGUGGAGGCGGCAGCGGAAGUGGUGGUAGCGGCAGCGGAGGCGGUGGUAGCGGAAGCGGAGGCGGCGGGGCACUCGAGCGUUGCCCCAUGGACACACUGAAGUUAGGUGUGUGCGCCAACGUGCUGAAUGGGCUGAUCAACGUGACCCUGGGGACACCGCCCAAGACGCCAUGCUGCACAUUGAUCCAGGGGCUGGCAGACCUAGAGGCGGCGGUGUGCCUCUGCACCGCGCUCAAGGCCAACAUCCUGGGGAUUAACCUCAAUCUGCCCAUCAACCUCAGCCUCCUCGUCAACUACUGCGGCAAGGACGUCCCCUCGGGCUUCCAGUGCUCCUGAAGAGCCAUGAUCCAUCCAAUCAAGUCUUCAUGAAAAUUCAUAUUUAUCAUGUAUUUUUCAUCUAUUACUCGUGUUUUCAUGUAUUUUUUGUAAAAACACUAUCAGUCAUAGUGCUGCUAUAGCAGCGCUAUAGCUACACACCUGCUGAAAAAAGUUGCCGCUAUUUAUAAUAGCCCGCUUUUUUAAACUUUGUACCAUAGAGCAGCUCCACCAGAUCAGAGGUGGAGCAGACGCCGGUCGGUAGGAUCCCAACGGGCGGAUGACACCGGAGGGCUCGGCGUGGAUGCACGAGCAAAGAAAAACAUCCACGUCGGAUGGGGGUAGGGGUGGGACCGAUGCUACACCCGUCGGAGCUCUUCCGCUCGGUAGCACCACAAUGAGGAAAUUCACAGUGGGACGCAAACACCAACAUAGGGCCAUGUCAAGCAGCCUGCCUCCAACCAACCUACCAGACAGCCAGAUCUGCCUGUAGGCAGGCAUCAGUGAGCCGACCGACCGUAAGUUACCUUGCAGUGGCCAACACCGCCUUGGUCGCGAUGGCAGACCUAACCCCAGCCAGCCGCGCGCCUGGCUAACCAUGGCUGCUGGCCCCCGGCUGAGAGACGGGUAUGCGGGAUGCAGGGGUAAAUCCAAACUCAAGAGUGACAGAUCUGAGCCUGGGCCGGCCAGAUCCGACCGCCCAUAGACAAGGAUGCAUCUCUAUGUUUGUUUCAAUGCGCAUAAAUAAUCAAUGAAUUGACCAAUAAAAACCGUGUGAAAGUACAAAACACGGCGAAACAUACACAUAGAACGGAAAUAUGGAAUGCAAACACGAGGACCCUAGUUUUCUCUCUUUUUUAUUAAAAUAUAAAAUAAAAUAAUUAGAGUUAGCUUAUAUAAGUCAUUGUUGGAGCAAUAGUUUAGUUUUUAGACAAACUAGAAGCCCGCCUCAAGAAAUAGACCUAUUAACCGAGACGGCCCACUUAGAAAGUCUGUCUAGGUUAAUAUGUUCGAGCCCACAAGAAAGCUCAUUCGGCCCAAACUCGGUCACAGUAUAUAUAGUGAAAAACCUAGCCCAUCUCGUCUCACUCCCUCACCUGCCCGUCGGACUCACUUACUCAUCUCCCCAUCGCCCUUCCACUCCACUCCUUCCCCUGGCGUCGCCCCCACCCCUCCCCUCUCCUCACCUCCCUGGCCCACCCCAUCACUUCCCCUCCCCUCCCUGGCCUGCCCCCUCCCCUCCCUUCACGACGACGCUCCUUCCCACCCUUCCCCGACGAUGCCCCCUCCCCUUCCUAGAGGCUGGCCAUGGCUGCAUGCGGGGCGGCCCGGCCCUUCCUGAUGGCGUGCACCACGGCCAUGGCCGCGACAGCUCGGGCACAGCGUCGCGGCUGUCCAAUCGCCUAGAGGCGUGGUGCCCUCAUGGCGCGACGACCUAGCACGCGACUUGCUAGGAUCAGCUAAACUCGUGCGUGGUAGUGCAUUGGCUGCGGCGGCCUCGUGUGCGAGCCCGGUGGUGGUGGCGACAUCCACACGCGCGGGCCUAGUCGACGCUUGACGGAUUGAGCUCCUACAACGUGAAUUGAACUCCUCCGACGCGAAUCAACCUUCCUCUAGCGCAGAGGAGCUAGAUCUGGUGACAGGGUGCGCGGAGGAGCCGGAUCCAGCUAUGGCGGCGCUCAGGGAGGCCUCCCUUGUCGGCGGGCAGAGAGCAGCUACAGCAGUAGCGACCCAUAGAUGGGCUCGGCGGUCCCGCGGAUGGGCUCAUUGGGCCUAUCCAUGGAUUUUUUUUUUUUUACUUUUUUCUUUUUUAUUAGAUUAACUGAGGCGGGCAGUAAAAUGCCUUGGAAAAUAUCUCUAUUUACUGUGACCUUUGAUCUGAGGCGUUUUGAUUGCCCACCUCAGUUAAUCCAAAAUGCCCACCUCGAAAAAGAAUUUAUGUAGUAGUGUGACCACCUUGGUUAAUGUCAACCGAGGUGUAUGAAAAUCCUACCUACCUUGGAGGCCUAUUUCAAAACGUCUCGCAAAAAGAUUUUUUUCUACUAGUGGGGACUCAGUUGGUAUUAACUCUAUAAACUCCUCUUGUGGUGUAUAUUUUUACAACCAUAUGAUCUCAAAUAAAAAAGUUUUAGCUACAAAGCUAUUGAUCUCGUCGAGUACUACAACUUCAGUAUAAAAUUAGUCUUCAUUGGACAUCAUAUAAGAAAAUUAUGAUUUUUUAACAGCAUAUCACUGUCGAUUUAAGCCAAAAACCGGCAGUGAUAACCCAAUAUCAUUGUCGGUUUAUACAAAUACCGUCAGUGAUGGGCCGGCACUAAAAUUCAGUUCCAUAGUAGUGUUUGUGUCUAUGUUUUGCCAUUUUUAUUUAUGGAUUUCUCUACUUAAGUGUGAAAAAAUAAUGUUAUGACUAGUUGUACUUUGAUUUUUGGUAUAUUUCCAUACUUGCCGUAUUGACAUAUCCUGGUUUUUGGAAAAUGUCGUAUCGCUUUAUCCAUAUCCAUUGGUCAAAGCCCCCACGCAUGAACUGUCCCUUCCUGGCAUCAUAUUUGCAGAAUUAUUUCAGUGCAUUGUUGCUCGCACGUACAACCUCUCAGGAUCUCUGAUUUCAAGAUACGUUGGGUACUACCAGAAAAUAAGUUAAUUAGCCAUGGUCCGGCCUUGCAAGCCAUGCCUGAAACAAACCAAUCAUAUCUCUUUGACCUCAAGAUAUGACAGAUCCGCUCGUCACAACUCCUUGAUCAUAUUGAUGAUCGAUCACUACUACUAAUAGUUGGCCGGCAGUCGUCAUGAACCACCUGGUUUGACCACCAAGUUCAGUUCGAUCGUCUCGCUAGCUUGCCACCGUGGUGAAUUAUUUUAGUUGUCCGUGGAUGUACUCGAAGGAAUGAUUAGAAUGCACAACACAGCAGGAUCCCUCUACUUUAUUCACGUACAAACAACUCUAGUUGCUGUAGUCUACCUACAGCAUAUCAAAAGCUACGAUUUGAUUUCAAGAUCGAAUACUAUAUACUAGCUAGUAUUAUAAAUAACAAGUUGGUCGUGUAUAUAUAUGCUUGUUUUUGCUACACUUAAGUAUAUCGUCAUCAGUUAUUAAUUACUAGGGCUUUAUUAUAUCCCUGCGCUCUCCGCCUAUAAAUAGUGCCCCCAACAAGCUGCAAACGAUCACAGGUUGCAGUGCCACAGUUCCAGGCAGCACAUCUGAGACAUAAGCUGCUACCUGCAGUCUGAGGAUCUACGCUAGCUAUCAAGCUAUCUGUUGUGCUGCGUAGGAGUACGACGUGGUAGCUAGCCAUGGUGAAGAAAGUGGCCGUGCUGGCGACGUUGCUGGCCCUCAACCUCCUUUUGUUUGGCUUCGCGGACGCAUGCAGAUAUGAUGGGGGUGGGAGCGGAGGCACCGGAGGGAGCGGUGGGAGCGGCACUGGCGGAGGUGGUAGUGGCAGUGGCGGCACCGGUGGAGGCGGCAGCGGAGGAGGUGGAAGCGGUGGAGGCGGCAGUGGAGGGGGUGGGAGCGGAGGCGCCGGAGGGAGCAGUGGGGGCGGCAGCAUUGGAGGUCGUAGUGGCGGACGUGGCAGCGGUGGAGGUGGAAGUGGAGCAGGUGGCAGCGGUGGAGGUGGCAGUGGAGCAGGUGGGAAUGGAGGAGGAGUGGGUGGGAGCGGUGGAGGCGGCAACGGAAGUGGUGGUAGCGGCAGCGGAGGUGGUGGUAGCGGAAGCGGAGGCGGCGGGGCACUCGAGCGUUGCCCCAUGGACACACUGAAGUUAGGCGUGUGCGCCAACGUGCUGAAUGGGCUGAUCAACGUGACCCUGGGGACGCCGCCCAAGAUGCCAUGCUGCACACUGAUCCAAGGGCUGGCAGACCUAGAGGCGGCGGUGUGCCUCUGCACGGCGCUCAGGGCCAACAUCCUGGGGAUUAACCUCAAUCUGCCCAUCAACCUCAGCCUCCUCGUCAACUACUGCGGCAAGGACGUCCCCUCGGGCUUCCAGUGCUCCUGAAGAGCCAUGAUCCAUCCAAUCAUGUCUCUCCAUCCAUCGUCGCCUCCUUCGAUUCCUCCGUCAUCGUCGAUCCAUGCACGCACGCUGUGCACCCGGCAGUGCUAAAUAAUAAUGAUGAUUUCUUUGCAAGAUGUACAAGCUACUCGUAGUAGACAUCAAUGUUCGUCCAUUGCUUCAAUUUGUUUUGUUUUGCUUUGCUUUGAUUGCUUUGGGUGUGUUUUUUCAUGAAUCUAACAUCAUGCAUGCAUACAUGCAGCGUGUCCACAAUGCUUCCUGUUAAGUUUGUCAUGGAUGGGAUCGAUGGUUGAUCGUGUCGAGAGGCCUUGCUGGACCUGACACGACGAUGAUCUCCAGCUGAAAAUAUAAAUACCAUUAUUACAGUGUGGUAAUUGUCAGUGUGAUUUGAUGGAUGAACGUUAGUAUUUGGCCUGAUGUUUAUAUGUGUACACUGUUACAUACAGAUGUAGAAAAGGUGGCAAAACUACAGAUACGUUACUACAAGGAGAAAGCGGGAACACCAUGACACACAGGCUGAAAGCUGGAACACCAUGACACACAGGCUCUUCGACAAUGACACAAGAGGGGUGAACGAUGCCAGAACGUAAUCAUCGUCAGCCAAAGUAGGAGCUUAAUCUGGCUUUCACCUAAGUCCUAUGUCAUAGAGGACUGCAUUGCCCUCACAGACCGAAGAGAGGAGGCAACUAGAGGCUAUUCAGCGACACUUCGGGAAGGAAAUCGUCGUCGCUUGCUCAGCCAAGAGCUGCACUGAGCUUUUGCCCAGUAACCUCUCCCAAGUGCACCUGCUGCAGACACCUCAAUGCCGCCACCACAUUGUCACUUCCACCAAGAACACAAGCAUGGGUGACGUUGACAAUCUAAAUGAACGGCGCUCUGCCCUCUCCGACAAGAGGCAUAGGGCGAGGGCGCUCGUGGACAUGCAGCCCACCGCUGGCUCACUCGCAGCCAAACUAUGUGCACCGCGUAUGCAUAUGUAGAAGAUGCACCGCUGCAUGGGCACCACUUGUGCCCAGAGCCCGAGCGGACAACUACAGCUCCCAUAGAUCCAGUCAUGCGGCUGUCGGGUCUAGGAAAAUGGAAAUCCAUGGGGACACCAUCCCGCCAUCGGCAUGCCCAUGGCCAGACUGCACGCCCCGGACCCCUGCACAUGUGCAUGAAGAAAAAAGAAUGUCGUACCAUAGCAAAGAAAAAAAUAGAUGCAGGGCAGGUUUGCCGCUAAGCUAUUUGUAUUUUUUCCGCUAUCACAACUUUCACGCUAUCAGGCGCUAUAGCGCUGUUAAAUUGCAUUUGCUAUGACAACUUGCGCCGCUAUUACGCGCUAUCGCGCCGCUAUGACAAAUCUUCUCAGUCUGACUCUCAAAACUUCAUGUUAGACUAGAUUAUCAUUUAUUAUUAGCAAUAUAAUUUGGUAUUUUGGACAAUUAAGAUUACAUGAACCAUGUUGAAAUGUCAUAUUGGUAUCUUGUUAUAUUAUCUAGACUUAUGGAAACAUAUUUUUAUUCAUCAAAAUUCAUAUUUAUCAUGUAUUUUUCAUCUAUUACUCGAGUUUUCAUGUAUUUUUUAUAAAAUAACUAUCAGUCAUAGUGCCGCUAUAGCAGCGCUUUAGCUACACAGCUGCUGAAAAAAGUUGCUGCUAUUUUAAACUUUGUACCAUAGAGCAGCUCCACCAGAUCAGAGGUGGAGCAAACGCCCGUCGGUAGGAUCCCAACGGGCGGAUGACACCGGAGCGGCUCGGCGUGGAUGCACGAGCAAAGAAAAACAUCCACGUCGGAUGGGGGUAUGGGGUGGGACCGAUGCUACACCCGUCGGAGCUCUUCCGCUCGGCAGCACCGCAAUGAGGAAAUUCACAGUGGGACGCAAGCACCAGCACAGGGCCAUGUCGAGCAGCCUGCCUCUAACCAACCUACCAAACAGCCAGAUCUGCCCGUAGGCAGACAUCAGUGAGCCGACCGACCGUAAGUUACCUCCUUGCAGUGGCCAACACCGCCUUGGUCAAUCGCGAUGGCUAGCCAUGGUCUAGGUAGACCUAACCCCAGCCAGCCGCGCGCCUGGCUAGCCAUGGCUGCUUGCGCCCGGCUGAGAGACGGGUAUGCGGGAUGCAGGGGCAAAUCCAAACUCAAGAGUGACAGAUCUGAGUCAGGGCCGGCCAGAUCCGACCGCCCAUAGACAAGGAUGCAUCUCUAUGUUUGUUUGAAUGCGCAUAAAUAAUCAAUGAAUUGACCAAUAAAAACCAUAUGGAAGUACAAAACACGGCAAAACAUACACAUGGAACGGAAAUAUGGAAUGCAAACAUGAGGACCCUAGUUUUCUUUUUUUUACUAAAAUAUAAAAAAAUAAUUAGAGCUAGCUUAUAUAAGUCAUUGUUGGAGCAAUAGUUUAGUUUUUAGACAAACUAGAAGCACGCCUCAAGGAAUAGACCUAUUAACCGAGGCGGCCCACUUAGAAAUUCUGUCUCGGUUAAUAUGUUCGAGCCCACGAGAAAGCCCAUUCGGCGCAAACUCGGUCACAGUAUAUAUAGUCAAAAACCUAGCACAUCUCGUCUCACUCCCCCACCUGCCCGUCCGACUCCCUCACUCAUCUCCCCAUCGCCCCUCCACUCCACUCCUUCCCCUGGCGUCGCCCCCACCCCACCCCUCUCCUCACCUCCCUAGCCCACCCCAUCACUUCCCCUCCCCUCCCUAGCCUGCCCCCUUCCCUCCCUUCCCAACGACGCUCCCGACAACCCUUCCUCGGCGAUGCCCCCUCCCCUUCCUAGAGGCUGGCCAUGGCUGCAUGCGGGGCGGCCCAGCCCUUCCUGAUGGCGUGCACCACGGCCAUGGCCGCGACAGCUCGGGCACAGCGUCGCGGCGGUCCAAUCGCCUAGAGGCGUGCUGCCCUCAUGCCGCAGUGACCUAGCACGCGACUUGCCAGGAUCAGCCAAACUCGUGCGUGGUAGUGCAUUGGCGGCGUCGGCCUCAUGUGCUUGCCCGGUGGAGGUGGCCACAUCCACACGCGCGGGCCUAGUGGACGCUUGGCGGAUUGAGCUCCUACGACGCGAACCAACCUUCCUCUAGCGCAGAGGAGCCAGAUUUAGUGACAGGGUGCGCGGAGGAGCCGGAUCCAGCUAUGGCGCCGCUCAAGGAGGCCUCCCUCGUUGGCGGGCCAGAGAGCAGCUACGGCAGUACGUAGCGACCCAUAGAUGGGCUCGGCAGUCCCGCGGAUGGGCUCAUUGGUCCUAUCCAUGGAUUUUUUUUUGACUUUUUUCUUUUUUAUUAGAUUAACUGAGGCGGGCAGUAAAAUGCCUUGGAAAAUAUCUCUAUUUACCGUGACCUUUGAUCUGAGGCGUUUUGAUUGCCCACCUCAGUUAAUCCAAAAUGCCCACCUCGGAAAAGAAUUUAUGUAGUAGUGUGACCACCUUGGUUAAUGUCAACCGAGGUGUAUGAAAAUCCUACCCACCUCGGAAACCUAUUUCAAAACGUCUCGCAAAAAGGAUUUUUUGUACUAGUGGGGAAUCAUUUGGUAUUAACUCUAUAAACUCCUCUUGUGGUGUAUAUUUUUACAACCAUACGAUCUCAAAUAAAAAAGUUUGAGCUACAAAGCUAUUGAUCUCGUCGAGUACUACAACUUUAGUAAAAAAUUAGUCUUCAUGGGACAUCAUAUAAGAAAGUUAUGAUUUUUUUACAGCACGUCACUGUCGGUUUAAGCCAAAAACCGACAGUGAUGACCCAAUAUCAAUGUCGGUUUAUACAAAAACCGUCACAGAUGGGCCGGCACUGAAAUUCAGCUCCAUAGUAGUGUUUGUGUCUAUGUUUUGCCAUUUUGAUUUAUUGAUUUCUCUACUUAAGUGUGAGAAAUUAAUGUUAUGACUAGUUGUACUUUGAUUUUUGGUAUAUUUCCAUACUUGCCGUAUUGACAUAUCCUGGUUUUUGGAAAAUGUCGUAUCGCUUUAUCCGUAUCCAUUGGUCAAAGCCCCCACGCAUGAACUGUCCCUUCUUGGCAUCAUAUUUGCAGAAUUAUUUCAGUGCAUUGUUGCUCGCACGUACAACCUCUCAGGAUCUCUGAUUUCAAGAUCCGUUGGGUACUACCAGAAAAUAAGUUAGCCAUGGUCCGGCCUUGCAAGCCAUGCCUGAAACAAACCAAUCAUAUCUCUUUGACCUGAAGAUAUGACAGAUCCGCUCCUCACACCUCCUUGAUCAUAUUGAACCACCUGGUUUGACCACCACCAAGUUGAGUUUGAUCGUCUCCCUAGCUCGCCACCGUGGUGAAUUAUAUAUUUUAGUUGUCCGUGGAUGUACUCGCAGGAAUGAUUAGAAUGCACAACACAGCAGGAUCCCUCUACUUUAUUCACGUACAAACAACUCUAGUUGCUGUAGUCUACCUACAGCAUAUCAAAAGCUACGAUUUGAUUUCAAGAUCGAAUACUAUAUACUAGCUAGUAUUAUAAAUAACAAGUUGGUCGUGUAUAUAUAUAUAUGCUUGGUUUUGCUACACUUAAGUAUAUCGUCAUCAGUUAUUAAUUACUAGGGCUUUAUUAUAUCCCUGCGCUCUCCGCCUAUAAAUAGUGCCCCCAACAAGCUGCAAACGAUCACAGGUUGCAGUGCCAUAGUUCCAGGCAGCAGAUCUGAGACAUAAGCUCUAGCUACCUGCGGUCUGAGGAUCUACGCUAGCUAUCAAGCUAUCAGUUGUGCUGCGUAGGAGUACGACGUGGUAGCUAGCCAUGGUGAAGAAAGUGGCCGUGCUGGCGACGUUGCUGGCCCUCAACCUCCUUUUGUUUGGCUUCGCGGACGCAUGCGGAUAUGAUGGGGGUGGGAGCGGAGGCACCGGAGGGAGCGGUGGGGGCGGCACUGGCGGAGG
RNAcentral lists this long non-coding RNA (11116 nucleotides) under Sorghum bicolor (sorghum). RNAcentral describes it as "long non-coding RNA (SBIC_LNC015158)". Lineage: Eukaryota; Viridiplantae; Streptophyta; Magnoliopsida; Poales; Poaceae. The record is from RNAcentral.